RNAcentral lists this ribosomal RNA (586 nucleotides) under Micrococcus sp. PLB029. RNAcentral describes it as "bacterial SSU rRNA". It matches the Rfam family "Bacterial small subunit ribosomal RNA", at positions 212 to 810 of the family's 1533-position model. The record is from RNAcentral. Lineage: Bacteria; Bacillati; Actinomycetota; Actinomycetes; Micrococcales; Micrococcaceae.
UUAUCGGUCUUGGAUGGACUCGCGGCCUAUCAGCUUGUUGGUGAGGUAAUGGCUCACCAAGGCGACGACGGGUAGCCGGCCUGAGAGGGUGACCGGCCACACUGGGACUGAGACACGGCCCAGACUCCUACGGGAGGCAGCAGUGGGGAAUAUUGCACAAUGGGCGGAAGCCUGAUGCAGCGACGCCGCGUGAGGGAUGACGGCCUUCGGGUUGUAAACCUCUUUCAGUAGGGAAGAAGCGAAAGUGACGGUACCUGCAGAAGAAGCACCGGCUAACUACGUGCCAGCAGCCGCGGUAAUACGUAGGGUGCGAGCGUUAUCCGGAAUUAUUGGGCGUAAAGAGCUCGUAGGCGGUUUGUCGCGUCUGUCGUGAAAGUCCGGGGCUUAACCCCGGAUCUGCGGUGGGUACGGGCAGACUAGAGUGCAGUAGGGGAGACUGGAAUUCCUGGUGUAGCGGUGGAAUGCGCAGAUAUCAGGAGGAACACCGAUGGCGAAGGCAGGUCUCUGGGCUGUAACUGACGCUGAGGAGCGAAAGCAUGGGGAGCGAACAGGAUUAGAUACCCUGGUAGUCCAUGCCGUAAACGUU